CGGUCUUGUUGGGGACCCGGCAUAUGCGAUGCCGGGAUCGGGUGGACGCCGGGGAAGUGGAUGGGGGCGUCGCCUUGGUCUUUGAAGCUGGUAGAAGUGGUGGAGUGGAGGGUCGGUACAUAUAAUUGGACAGCGAGGCUGGUGGCGGCGGAGGGGAAGAAGAGGUAGCAUGGGAGGCCGAGCUCGAUGGCGACUUCGAGGGCGUCGGUGCAGAAGAAGUCGACGACGACGGCGCGGACGGUGGACUUCUCGGAGAGAGAUUCA
RNAcentral lists this long non-coding RNA (264 nucleotides) under Elaeis guineensis (African oil palm). Its description in RNAcentral is "long non-coding RNA (EGUI_LNC000481)". The record is from RNAcentral. Lineage: Eukaryota; Viridiplantae; Streptophyta; Magnoliopsida; Arecales; Arecaceae.